RNAcentral lists this small RNA (146 nucleotides) under Arabidopsis thaliana (thale cress). RNAcentral's name for it is "ATSL214790". The record is from RNAcentral. Lineage: Eukaryota; Viridiplantae; Streptophyta; Magnoliopsida; Brassicales; Brassicaceae.
AUACAUAGUCAAUACUCAAUACAUUCAUUUUUAACUCGGUUUGGAGAAUGUAUUGUUUACUAGAUUUUAACCCGCGGUAUACUGCGAGAACAAUUUUAUUUUUAAAUUAGUAUAUAUUAAAGUUUGCAAAUUAAAUCUAUUUAUAU